RNAcentral lists this ribosomal RNA (475 nucleotides) under uncultured Sphingobacteriales bacterium. RNAcentral's name for it is "bacterial SSU rRNA". It matches the Rfam family "Bacterial small subunit ribosomal RNA", at positions 901 to 1382 of the family's 1533-position model. The record is from RNAcentral. Lineage: Bacteria; Pseudomonadati; Bacteroidota; Sphingobacteriia; Sphingobacteriales.
UUAAAGGAAUUGACGGGGCCCGCACAAGCGGAGGAACAUGUGGUUAAUUCGAUGAUACGCGAGGAACCUUACCUGGGCUUAAAUGGGGAGUGACAGCUGUCGAAAGAUGGUUUCUUCGGACACUCUUCAAGGUGCUGCAUGGUUGUCGUCAGCUCGUGCCGUGAGGUGUCGGGUUAAGUCCCAUAACGAGCGCAACCCUUACCGUUAGUUACCAUCAGGUUAAGCUGGGGACUCUAGCGGGACUGCCACCGUAAGGUGAGAGGAAGUGGGGAUGACGUCAAAUCAGCACGGCCCUUAUGUCCAGGGCUACACACGUGUUACAAUGGCCAGUACAAAGGGCAGCUACCGGGUGACCGGAUGCUAAUCUCUAAAGCUGGUCUCAGUUCGGAUCGAAGUCUGCAACCCGACUUCGUGAAGCUGGAUUCGCUAGUAAUCGCGCAUCAGCCAUGGCGCGGUGAAUACGUUCCCGGGCCUU